This 396-nucleotide long non-coding RNA is filed under the name Salvia miltiorrhiza (redroot sage). Its description in RNAcentral is "long non-coding RNA (SMIL_LNC002144)". The record is from RNAcentral. Lineage: Eukaryota; Viridiplantae; Streptophyta; Magnoliopsida; Lamiales; Lamiaceae.
CGGCUCAUCACAAUCAAUUACAUAUAUUUUCUAGUAGUACAUUAAUUAAUUAAUUUAUUUGAUGCAUGGUGAUGGUGGAGGAGGAGGCAUGGCUUUUGACAGCCACAGACAAGAAACCACCGCAUUAAUUCUUGUAUGUUUUAUCUUCAUGUAUCCACCGCAUCUUGUUUUUUUCCCCAAUAAAUAGUUAGUAGUAUUUAAUUAGUGGAGAUGCUGUUUAAUUAAUGGAGCUGCUGUUUGGUUGAUGCAGCGACCGUGGCGCUCCAACAAUCGCUGGAAUCGUUGCAACGGGCGCUGGGGUCCAGCGGCCAUUGGCUUCUUGGCCGCGGGCGCUGGAACUCAGCGCUCGCUUAAAAUUUCAUGGAUUUCAAUUCUCGUGGUUCUUGGCCGGAUUUC